RNAcentral lists this ribosomal RNA (1367 nucleotides) under Acinetobacter sp. SD24438. RNAcentral's name for it is "bacterial SSU rRNA". It matches the Rfam family "Bacterial small subunit ribosomal RNA", at positions 91 to 1453 of the family's 1533-position model. Lineage: Bacteria; Pseudomonadati; Pseudomonadota; Gammaproteobacteria; Moraxellales; Moraxellaceae. The record is from RNAcentral.
CCUAGCGGCGGACGGGUGAGUAAUGCUUAGGAAUCUGCCUAUUAGUGGGGGACAACAUUCCGAAAGGAAUGCUAAUACCGCAUACGUCCUACGGGAGAAAGCAGGGGACCUUCGGGCCUUGCGCUAAUAGAUGAGCCUAAGUCGGAUUAGCUAGUUGGUGGGGUAAAGGCCUACCAAGGCGACGAUCUGUAGCGGGUCUGAGAGGAUGAUCCGCCACACUGGRACUGAGACACGGCCCAGACUCCUACGGGAGGCAGCAGUGGGGAAUAUUGGACAAUGGGGGGAACCCUGAUCCAGCCAUGCCGCGUGUGUGAAGAAGGCCUUUUGGUUGUAAAGCACUUUAAGCGAGGAGGAGGCUACUAGUAUUAAUACUACUGGAUAGUGGACGUUACUCGCAGAAUAAGCACCGGCUAACUCUGUGCCAGCAGCCGCGGUAAUACAGAGGGUGCGAGCGUUAAUCGGAUUUACUGGGCGUAAAGCGUGCGUAGGCGGCUGAUUAAGUCGGAUGUGAAAUCCCUGAGCUUAACUUAGGAAUUGCAUUCGAUACUGGUCAGCUAGAGUAUGGGAGAGGAUGGUAGAAUUCCAGGUGUAGCGGUGAAAUGCGUAGAGAUCUGGAGGAAUACCGAUGGCGAAGGCAGCCAUCUGGCCUAAUACUGACGCUGAGGUACGAAAGCAUGGGGAGCAAACAGGAUUAGAUACCCUGGUAGUCCAUGCCGUAAACGAUGUCUACUAGCCGUUGGGGCCUUUGAGGCUUUAGUGGCGCAGCUAACGCGAUAAGUAGACCGCCUGGGGAGUACGGUCGCAAGACUAAAACUCAAAUGAAUUGACGGGGGCCCGCACAAGCGGUGGAGCAUGUGGUUUAAUUCGAUGCAACGCGAAGAACCUUACCUGGUCUUGACAUAGUAAGAACUUUCCAGAGAUGGAUUGGUGCCUUCGGGAACUUACAUACAGGUGCUGCAUGGCUGUCGUCAGCUCGUGUCGUGAGAUGUUGGGUUAAGUCCCGCAACGAGCGCAACCCUUUUCCUUAUUUGCCAGCGGGUUAAGCCGGGAACUUUAAGGAUACUGCCAGUGACAAACUGGAGGAAGGCGGGGACGACGUCAAGUCAUCAUGGCCCUUACGACCAGGGCUACACACGUGCUACAAUGGUCGGUACAAAGGGUUGCUACCUAGCGAUAGGAUGCUAAUCUCAAAAAGCCGAUCGUAGUCCGGAUUGGAGUCUGCAACUCGACUCCAUGAAGUCGGAAUCGCUAGUAAUCGCGGAUCAGAAUGCCGCGGUGAAUACGUUCCCGGGCCUUGUACACACCGCCCGUCACACCAUGGGAGUUUGUUGCACCAGAAGUAGGUAGUCUAACCGCAAGGAGGACGC